CCUUCUCCGUGUCCACUUCGAUCUUGUCCAGACUCACCUGAGCCGUGCUGCGCGGCUGCCUCUCGUUCUGAACGGCUAAAGGGUGGGGAGGACAGCGUCAGUGCAUGUCCUGGAAAACUUUUGCAAACAUCGACUUGUCCUGGGACCUGGGAAAUGGUCACCAUACACUGGUGCAAGGUGUCAACAGGGGACCUCCCAUGAAUAACUGAAGGAGGAUCAGAAAGCUGUCUUGUUUGAAAACCCCUCAUGUGGCUGAUCUUUGGAUUCUGAAUACAUUUCCCUGAUGAAACUUCACUCAUCUAGGUUCCACAUGAAACACCAGUAGCGACUGUUGGAGCAACUAUAUGAGUGUCAAAUCCAAAUCUUAACUCUGAAAAGUUUGCAGGAGAAGAGAGCCGUCAGAUACAGAUUGCUGUGCCAUCACCUAAUUCCUAGUCUGACUGGAUUUCAGCCAGUGGCCAACAGCAAAUAGGGUCAUCAACUACAGCAGGACCAGCCACAUGGCACUCAUCGCGGGUUACUAGGAGAAUGUUGCUAAUUCCUGAAAGUCACAGAAGCUGUUUACAGAAUAGCAACAAAAACAAACCUACUUUUACUGACAUUAAAACCAGAAGUGCAGCAUUCCUUAACUGUGUGAUAACCAAAGCUAUCAAAUUAAUCUCACCUCUCAUAAGAGAACAACAGCAUUCUCCCAUGUCCUUUCUUGUUUUGUACUUAUUAUUUUCACUGUUCACUACCAGUAUUUCCUACCACAACAGAAUGGGUGCUAAAACCUGUCUAAUCCAGCAUCACUUUGUCAGUAAUGUGCUGUAUUACUGAGAUACAGUAAAAUGUAAUAAGACAAAUAAAAACAAAUAAAA
Acipenser ruthenus (sterlet) is the source of this 860-nucleotide long non-coding RNA. RefSeq lists it as uncharacterized. The transcript is spliced from 4 exons. NCBI's taxonomy places the organism in Eukaryota, Metazoa, Chordata, Actinopteri, Acipenseriformes, Acipenseridae. The record is from RefSeq and is a predicted model, not a curated record.